Molecule: non-coding RNA, 495 nt
Organism: Sturnus vulgaris (Common starling)
Lineage: Eukaryota; Metazoa; Chordata; Aves; Passeriformes; Sturnidae
Source: RefSeq, a predicted model, not a curated record
AAAAACCUUUUUUUUUUUCUUGAUCCCCUGCAAGUCUGUAUUUCAGUAGUUCUAAAUAAACAUCUACCUUAACUCCUCCUCUCCAUGGCUUUUGUUUGUUUUAAGGUGUUUCCAAAAGCACCUAUGUGUACCAGGGAGUUUUAUUUCUGAAACCCGGAUCUAACGUCCUAGUUGAGUAUGCAACAAUUGCAGCAAUUGCACUAGAAAUAAAACCUGCUUAGUUAAGCCUACAGCGAUAACUCUGGAAAGGCUGACUGAUGAUCAAGACAAAAACUUUGAGUUCAUCCUGCAGUUUAGACUUCGGGACUUGCCCUUUUUUAAGGCACUCAGAAGAAACAUGUAAACAAUCUUCCAGAUAAAAAAGUUGCCAUAAGUACACAUGGUGGAAGAUGGGAACAAGCAGGGUGAGCUCAAGGACUCCCGGAAGCCCGGCUGUUUCGAUCCCGAGAAAUUCCGUGCCGGAUAGAGCAGCGGCGGGCAGAGCAGCGCAGCCAC